Calliphora vicina (urban bluebottle blowfly) is the source of this 331-nucleotide long non-coding RNA. RefSeq lists it as uncharacterized. Lineage: Eukaryota; Metazoa; Arthropoda; Insecta; Diptera; Calliphoridae. The transcript has 5 exons. The record is from RefSeq and is a predicted model, not a curated record.
AUUAAAUGAAAUAACAAACAAAAAUGGUUAAUAAGCAGCCUGGAAUAGUUCUACUUUGGUUUACAAAAAAGGGGUUGCCUGAAGUAUGUGUUAUGUUCUCAUUCACAAAUGAUCGUAUUAAGGAUAAAAAGGAGUAUUCCAUGAUCUUUUUGAUAUAAAGCCAGCACUCGUUUUAUGUUCUUUUUGAAGGAAAACGGAUUUUUUAACUAUCUGCUGCCAAAGAGAUUGCUUCAUAAUAAAAGGUAAGCCAACUGGAUUAACAUGUAAUUAAUAUAUUAUUUGAACUCAAUUAUAAGCUAAAUGGAAAAUAAAUAAAGAAAUCCUAAAAAAA